This 452-nucleotide ribosomal RNA is filed under the name uncultured bacterium. RNAcentral describes it as "bacterial SSU rRNA". It matches the Rfam family "Bacterial small subunit ribosomal RNA", at positions 29 to 524 of the family's 1533-position model. The record is from RNAcentral.
AACGAACGCUGGCGGCAGGCCUAACACAUGCAAGUCGAACGCUCGUAGCAAUACGGGAGUGGCGCACGGGUGAGUAACGCGUGGGCACCUGCCCGGUGGUUUGGGAUAACCGUGGGAAACUGCGGCUAAUACCGGAUACGCCCCUCGGGGGAAAGAUUUAUCGCCAUCGGAUGGGCCCGCGUAGGAUUAGCUAGUUGGUGAGGUAACGGCUCACCAAGGCGACGAUCCUUAGCUGGUCUGAGAGGAUGAUCAGCCACACUGGGACUGAGACACGGCCCAGACUCCUACGGGAGGCAGCAGUGGGGAAUAUUGGACAAUGGGGGGCAACCCUGAUCCAGCCAUGCCGCGUGAGUGAAGAAGGCCUCGGGUUGUAAAGCUCUUUUGGCGGGGACGAUGAUGACGGUACCCGCAGAAUAAGCCCCGGCUAACUUCGUGCCAGCAGCCGCGGUAAU